CACCGGCACCACAUUUGCUCAGGCCAAUCUACACCCCAUGGCCAUUAAAAGUUAUUCAAAUCAUGACGCUGCACCCCACGGUUUACGUUCUAGGGGGCGCCAAAAAUAACCCUAAAAUCCACAUAUUUAAAAGUCUUAUAACUUUUUAUUUUUGUCCUCACUGGCCUCCAAGUUUUCUAGGAUGAUGCAAUGUCCAGCCAUCAACACAUUUGUGAAGGAAUUUUUACUCCCCAAAAGAGCGCCCCCCCAUGGCAGGAGAAAAAAGUCCAUUUUUUCUUGUCCCCUAAGGUGAAAAUACACAUUGUUGAGUGUCACGCCUUUACGCUUUGGCAAAAUGACACAAAAAUUGACACACACAUGUAUCUCAAUAAGAUCUACAAAAAAGUCUAUGAGCGCGUAUCUGUCAAAUGUACGGUUAAAGGGUUAUUCCGCAUUUUUUGCCGAUACGCACACAUUGGAAUGUGGCUAACUCCUCCGAAGGCUUUCGUUCCACCGGCACCACAUUUGCUCAGGCCAAUCUACACCCCAUGGCCAUUAAAAGUUAUUCAAAUCAUGACGCUGCACCCCACGGUUUAGGUUCUAGGGGGCGCCAAAAAUAACCCUAAAAUCCACAUAUUUCAAAGUCUUAUAACUUUUUAUUUUUGUCCUCACUGGCCUCCAAGUUUUCUAGGAUGAUGCAAUGUCCAGCCAUCAACACAUUUGUGAAGGAAUUUUUACUCCCCAAAAGAGCGCCCCCCCCAUGGCAGGAGAAAAAAGUCCAUUUUUUCUUGUCCCCUAAGGUGAAAAUACAUAUUGUUGAGAUUCACGCCUAUACCCUUUGUCAUAUUGACACAAGAUUUGACAAUCACGUGCCUUGCCUGGUAUCAUUUUUUUCAGCACAACCUCACCUGUGCGAAUUUACAGUUAUUUUAUCAUGUUGACAUACUGAAUUUACACAAUGGACCCAAAUUCACACACAAAACAUAAAAUCCGAGUGGAAAAAAG
Xyrichtys novacula (pearly razorfish) is the source of this 984-nucleotide non-coding RNA. The record is from the annotation of a GenBank genome assembly. Lineage: Eukaryota; Metazoa; Chordata; Actinopteri; Labriformes; Labridae.